UGGGGAAUAUUGCACAAUGGGCGCAAGCCUGAUGCAGCAACGCCGCGUGAACGAUGAAGGUCUUCGGAUCGUAAAGUUCUGUUGCAGGGGAAGAUAAUGACGGUACCCUGUGAGGAAGCCCCGGCUAACUACGUGCCAGCAGCCGCGGUAAUACGUAGGGGGCUAGCGUUAUCCGGAUUUACUGGGCGUAAAGGGUGCGUAGGUGGUCUUUCAAGUCGGUGGUUAAAGGCUACGGCUCAACCGUAGUUAGCCUCCGAAACUGGAAGACUUGAGUGCAGGAGAGGAAAGUGGAAUUCCCAGUGUAGCGGUGAAAUGCGUAGAUAUUGGGAGGAAAACCAGUGGCGAAGGCGGCUUUCUGGACUGCAACUGACACUGAGGCACGAAAGCGUGGGUAGCAAACAGG
RNAcentral lists this ribosomal RNA (403 nucleotides) under Verrucomicrobiota bacterium. Its description in RNAcentral is "Verrucomicrobia bacterium partial 16S ribosomal RNA". It matches the Rfam family "Bacterial small subunit ribosomal RNA", at positions 355 to 776 of the family's 1533-position model. The record is from RNAcentral. Lineage: Bacteria; Pseudomonadati; Verrucomicrobiota.